AGUGAACGCUGGCGGUAGGCCUAACACAUGCAAGUCGAACGGCAGCACAGUAAGAGCUUGCUCUUACGGGUGGCGAGUGGCGGACGGGUGAGGAAUAUAUCGGAAUCUACUUUUUCGUGGGGGAUAACGUAGGGAAACUUACGCUAAUACCGCAUACGACCUACGGGUGAAAGCAGGGGAUCUUCGGACCUUGCGCGAUUGAAUGAGCCGAUGUCGGAUUAGCUAGUUGGCGGGGUAAAGGCCCACCAAGGCGACGAUCCGUAGCUGGUCUGAGAGGAUGAUCAGCCACACUGGAACUGAGACACGGUCCAGACCCCUACGGGAGGCAGCAGUGGGGAAUAUUGGACAAUGGGCGCAAGCCUGAUCCAGCCAUACCGCGUGGGUGAAGAAGGUCUUCGGGUUGUAAAGCCCUUUUGUUGGGAAAGAAAAGCAGCAGGUUAAUACCCCGCUGUUCUGACGGUACCCAAAGAAUAAGCACCGGCUAACUUCGUG
RNAcentral lists this ribosomal RNA (492 nucleotides) under uncultured bacterium. RNAcentral's name for it is "partial 16S ribosomal RNA". It matches the Rfam family "Bacterial small subunit ribosomal RNA", at positions 29 to 507 of the family's 1533-position model. The record is from RNAcentral.